GGCAGAGGCAAACCCUAUCCAAACAAGGAAGGGGAGGAAGAUGCAUUGCAAAAUUGUGGAUGGGUCACAUGAUUCAAAAAUACAUGCAUAGAUAUAUUUUUGUCUGGAAGGCCCAGCUCAGAAGUCUGAUGCACUUUAGUGCUUUGCACAGUGAGUUGCUUCCCAGAAAAAAAGAGAACAUUAAAAACACGAACAGCAAAAGCCUGGUAAAAGUUGUAACCAGCUCUGACUGUCCAUGGUAUGACAGCCAACAAAUAUCACCUGCUGAUGAUUUACAGAUUCCUGGGAGAUGUGGUGUUGAGUCUCAAAGAACUGGAAUGAGAACAACUCACUCAACGUGCUUCUCAGGAAACAAUGACUUAAUAUUCUUUCCUGAUUUCCCUGAAGCAGCAUGA
Molecule: long non-coding RNA, 395 nt
Filed under: Anas platyrhynchos platyrhynchos (common mallard)
Lineage: Eukaryota; Metazoa; Chordata; Aves; Anseriformes; Anatidae
Description: lncRNA (ENSAPLG00000026868.1)
Source: RNAcentral